GCGCCCGUAGCUCAGCUGGAUAGAGCGUCUGGCUAUGAACCAGAAGGCCGGGAGUUCGAAUCUCUCCGGGCGCACCA
RNAcentral lists this transfer RNA (77 nucleotides) under Terriglobia bacterium. Its description in RNAcentral is "tRNA-His". It matches the Rfam family "tRNA". Rfam says of the family: Transfer RNA (tRNA) molecules are approximately 80 nucleotides in length. Their secondary structure includes four short double-helical elements and three loops (D, anti-codon, and T loops). Further hydrogen bonds mediate the characteristic L-shaped molecular structure. tRNAs have two regions of fundamental functional importance: the anti-codon, which is responsible for specific mRNA codon recognition, and the 3' end, to which the tRNAs corresponding amino acid is attached (by aminoacyl-tRNA synthetases). tRNAs cope with the degeneracy of the genetic code in two manners: having more than one tRNA (with a specific anti-codon) for a particular amino acid; and 'wobble' base-pairing, i.e. permitting non-standard base-pairing at the 3rd anti-codon position. The record is from RNAcentral. Lineage: Bacteria; Pseudomonadati; Acidobacteriota; Terriglobia.